Molecule: non-coding RNA, 3864 nt
Organism: Amborella trichopoda
Lineage: Eukaryota; Viridiplantae; Streptophyta; Magnoliopsida; Amborellales; Amborellaceae
Source: RefSeq, a predicted model, not a curated record
CCGUCCAUUCCUUCGCUCGUCCUACGAUCUUAACCGUCCGUCCUAUCGAGCCGAAUGAUCACCCUUCGCCCUACUCUUCAAGGGGUCAUGGCUACAGUCUCUCUCUACAAAGUUUCCUCAAGAAAUCGUACCAGUGCUUUCUCACUCAUCACCAACAAUGUGGCCUAUCCACCAUUUCCCUCUGUUUGAAAUUGAGUGAGAGAGAGAGUACCUCCUUCUUCCUCUCUAUUUGAAAGAAGACAGAGGAGAGAGAUUCUCCUUCUCCAUUUUAGAGUGAGAAAGUUGGGGUGCUUGGGAGGAGAGAGAGAGGGUACACAUGCCACAGCUUACUCGCGUUACAGCAAGCCACAGAGUACGGUUCUCUUUCUUUCUAUUUCAUGGUUGGGUUAAAUGAUUCUUGUUUUUUUGAGGUUUUGUAUUCCUUAAUGGUGUUCUUUGUAUUCGCCCCAGAACUGGUUAUCUUCUUCUAACCCUUCCAAAUCAUGGCCUUGACAAAAGCACAAUCUCUCUCUAAACCCCACUAUUUCAUUUCUUUUGUUAUUCCUCCCUCUCUUCAUUCUUAUGUUGAACAAUUCUCCACAAAUCCCCUUUCUCUCUCUUCAUCUCCUUCUUCUCUCACUGAGGAUGCCAUGAGCUUAACUUCUUCCUCUCCUUCUUUCAUGGUUAACCUACUUAUAGACUCUUUUGGGCUCUCAAAGCAAUCCGCCAUUGCCACAUCUUCACAGUUUCUCCACCUCAAAACAGAUGAGAAACCCCUGUCUGUUCUAACCUUCCUAAAAAACAAUGGUUUCGAAGCAACCCACAUCCAUGACAUUUUGAGCAAGCGACCUCAGUUCCUUGUAGCUGAUGCCGAGAAAACCCUAAAACCCAAAUUGAAAUUGCUCGAAGAUUUGGGUCUUUCUAAAUCUGAACUUGGGGCCUUCAUCUCUGCGAAUCCAUCUAUUCUUACGUAUAGUUUAAACAAAAAGCUUCUCCCUAGCAUUUUCUUCCUCAAAAGCUAUUUGGGAACCGAUGAAAAUGUCUUAAGGUUUGGCAAAGGUUGUAGUUCGCUAUUGGUGUCUAAUAGAUUGCUGCCCAAUAUAAGGCUCAUGGAGAGCCAUGGAUUUUUGGUCUCAAAGUUGAAAACACUCCUAUUGCAAAACCCGUACAUGUUCAAUCAGAAGCUCAAUAGGCUUAAAGAAAUCGCAGAAAAAGUUAAGGAAUUAGGUAUUGAAUCUCACUCUAAAAUGUUCUCUCAUGCUGUUGGAUGCAUGAGCGCAAUGAGCAAGGAGACUUGCCAGAGGAAAUUCAAGUUCUUUAAGACUUUUGGAUAUUAUAAUUUAGAGAGAAGGUUGAUCCCAAGGAUUAAUCUAUUGAAACUGUUGAGGUCAAGGGAUUUGCUGAAAAAGGAUGCCAAUUUAUCGACAGUUAGUGUGUUAUCGGAGAAGGUAUUCUUGGAGAAGUAUGUGCUAAGUUGCAGAGAAGAGGCAGAAAGACAGAAAUCACAGAGAAAGUUAAGGAAUUGGGUGUUGAAUCUCACUCUAAAAGCUAUUGAGUUUAAUUUCUUCAAGAGCUUUGGGUGGUCAGAAGAAGGUAUUUGCACCGCUUUCCAAAAGAUGCCUCCAAUCUUUUCUUUAUCAGAACAGAAGUUGCAAAAGACUAUGGAUUAUUUCAUCAACGAACUUAAAUAUGAUGAGAAAUAUCUGUGUUUUCAUCCACAUAUAUUCAGUUAUAGUUUAGAAAGAAGGCUGUUCCCAAGGAUUAAUUUGUUGAAAAGUGUUGAGGUCGAGAAAAUUGCUGGAAAAGGAUGCAAAUUUAUCAUCAAUAUGUACUUUAUCGGAGAAGGUGUUCUUAGAGAGGUAUGUGUUAAGUUUUGGAGAAGAGGUUGGAAAUUUGUUCAAUAUCAUAAGAGAAACAAAGAAAUGCCAAGAAAUUGAUGCUGAGUCUAUGGUCUAAAAUAGGCUAAAUAGCCAUUAAAUCCUGAAUUCCUUGACUCUUCGUUUGUUAUAUUUCUGGAAAAGAAGAACUGAAUGUCAAUUUUUUGUGUUGUGUUCCUUGUAAUUUUGGCUUCUUUCUUCUCAUUGUUCUGCAUUGUAUAGUAUAGGUUAGAAGAACAGAAAAACUUGCUAACCUCUACACAGAUGCAAAAUUAGAUGGUGAUAAUUUUGGGUUUAUUCUAACCAUAUGAUGGAUUCGUCUGGAAAUCUGCACACAUGUUGGCCUCUCUCUCUAUCUCUCUCCUGAUUAUACAUUCUCUAAACAUGGGAAUUCAUUAUUGGAUUGCUGGGCUUAUUUCUCCUCAAGUUUAGGCCUUUUCUUGAUUUCUCCAAAUGUGGAAGCUCACUUGCUGGAAGAGUUGGGAUUCCCCCUCCUUCCCCCUCUUAUGAGGUGGUUUUAACUCCGGUUUGGAGUUGUGUUCAGUUGGUUGAAGAAAAACUAGGGCUAGAAGAGUUCAGAUUCCCCCUCAGGUGGUUUUAACUCCCGUUUGGAGUUGUGUUUAAGAAAAACUAGGGCAAGGAGGAGAUUCUUGUGGAUUUUUGUAGAUGGAAAUAACGUAGUAAGUUUUGACUCCAGAUCUUGAGAUGGAGGCUGUUGGAUUUUUGUAGAUGGAAAUAACCUAGUAAGUUUUGACUCCAAAUCUUGAGGGAAUGCCGCAUCAGUUGUAACUUGCGCCGAAGGAGUGUGGAAGGCCCACAAGGAAGGUAAUAGGUUAUGGAAUUCUGCUUUUUCUAGCCAAGCGAGCUCGAAGCAGAAGGGUUUUGGACCUCGAUGGAUGCCUUCGAUGUCAAGAAGGAUGGGUUUGUGAUUAGAGGUGGGUUUGGGUAAAUCAGAGGAAUGGGUUAUUGGGAAAUAGAGUCCCAAAAGGUGCAAAUUAGGUAUCGGUCCAGUUUGGAUAGGGAGGGGAUUGUGGAAUGGUUGGACCAGGUAUAGCAAGUUCCUUCUAAGGGGAUGUUGAUUAAGAGGUUUCUGGGGAUGAAGUCUAAAACCUUUGACAUCGAGGGGGUCACCUUGAAGAGGUGGUGCCUUCAUGGAACCAGCGUGUGGCGUUGAAAUCACCUCCCAAAUAGCAGCACCGAGGCAGCAAAGCAGCAAUUGCGUCCAAUACUUCCCAAAACUGUGGUAUUAGGCUCUCUGAUGGAGUGGGGCUUUGAAGAGCCGGCUUGAUUAUUUGGAGUAUCUCCAAAGCCCAUAAUGUUGAGGACCUUGUUGAUAUCACCUUGAGCACAAUCCAAAUUGUUCACAAAGACAAUGUUCACAGAUGAAGGGGAAGAAGGAUUCGUCGUCGCAGAGGAAGUCUUCUGUAGCGGAGGGGAAGCGGCAGGCAUGAGCGGGGGUGUUCUGAGGAUGGGGUGGGGGUGAGGUGAGGUCACAUGUGUGAGGGACACAGUAAUAGCAUCAGGAGAGUGGUUGGGACGAGGUGGACAGAAAGGGUGAUAUAGAGAGGAGAAUAGCCAAGGCUUGGAAGGGAAGUUGCAGCAAAGUUUAUGAGCAGAGUCUGAACCCUCUUCUAUUAACUGAUAAAUCUAGCUCACGCCCUAAUUGCCGGAGACUCACCUUUGGUUAUUUGUUUUGCUAUACAGGAUUGCAGCCUGACGGAUUCAGGAAAUGGGGGUAGAAGUUUGACAUGGGACAAUCGCCAGGUUGGACCCAGGUUGAACUUCUAAAAUGCUUGCUGCGCUGCUUCGGACCAUGCAACCUUUGUGAGAUCGGGCCAACAAACUUCUGAUGAAUCUUUAGUCCUGUAAUAACUGCAAACAAGAAUUGGCCGGAAAACCUGACGUCUCCCUCUCCCAUUUUCUGGCCACCCAAUCUUGUCGGAUGUCUUUUUAAUUGAAGUUACCUAAAUCAAUGAAGAUAAAGAAAGGCCAAAGGGGUUUGUAAAUA